AGAGUUUGAUCCUGACUCAGAACGAACGCUGGCGGCGUGCCUAACACAUGCGAGUCCAACGUGAAAGGGGAGCAAUCCCCCGGUAGGGUGGCAAACGGGUGAGUAAUACAUGGGUGAUCUACCUUAGGGAUGGGGAUAUCCUUCCGAAAGGAGGGGCAAUACCGAAUAUUGUCCGGAGCCGUGAAGGGUUCCGGGGAAAGGGAGGCCUCUGAUACAAGCUUUCGCCUUAAGAUGAGCCCAUGGCCCAUCAGCUAGUUGGUAGGGUAAAGGCCUACCAAGGCUACGACGGGUCGCUGGUCUGAGAGGACGACCAGCCACACUGGCACUGAGAUACGGGCCAGACUCCUACGGGAGGCAGCAGUGAGGAAUAUUGCGCAAUGGGGGAAACCCUGACGCAGCAACGCCGCGUGUGGGAAGAAGGCCUUCGGGUCGUAAACCACUUUUGCACGGGACGAAAAAGGGAUAUCGAACAAAUAUCCCCGAUGACGGUACCGUGAGAAUAAGCCACGGCUAACUCUGUGCCAGCAGCCGCGGUAAGACAGAGGUGGCAAGCGUUGUUCGGAAUUACUGGGCGUAAAGAGUCUGUAGGUGGUUUGUCAAGUCUUUGGUGAAAGGCCGUAGCUUAACUAUGGGAAUGCCAAAGAGACUGGCAGGCUGGAGGCUGGGAGAGGGAAGCG
This 677-nucleotide ribosomal RNA is filed under the name uncultured bacterium. Its description in RNAcentral is "bacterial SSU rRNA". It matches the Rfam family "Bacterial small subunit ribosomal RNA", at positions 8 to 663 of the family's 1533-position model. The record is from RNAcentral.